CAGUCGCCGCGGGAAUACGUAGGGUGCAAGCGUUAAUCGGAAUUACUGGGCGUAAAGGGCGCGUAGGCGGCGGCCAAAGUCAGGCGUGAAAUUCCUGGGCUCAACCUGGGAGCUGCGCUUGAUACUUGGUUGCUUGAGUGGGGAAGAGGGUCGUGGAAUUCCCAGUGUAGAGGUGAAAUUCGUAGAUAUUGGGAAGAACACCGGUGGCGAAGGCGGCGACCUGGUCCUUGACUGACGCUGAGGCGCGAAAGCGUGGGGAGCAAAUGGGAUUAGAGACCCGCGUAGUCCCUGUCUCUUAUAC
This 301-nucleotide ribosomal RNA is filed under the name uncultured bacterium. RNAcentral describes it as "partial 16S ribosomal RNA". It matches the Rfam family "Bacterial small subunit ribosomal RNA", at positions 509 to 807 of the family's 1533-position model. The record is from RNAcentral.